GAUGAAUGCUGGCGGCGUGCCUAACACAUGCAAGUCGAGCGGCAGCGCGUCUAGUUUACUAGAUGGCGGCGAGCGGCGGACGGCUGAGUAACGCGUGGGAACGUGCCCCAAAGUGAGGAAUAACUGCCCGAAAGGGUAGCUAAUGCCGCAUAUGAUCUUCGGAUUAAAGUCUUCGGACGCUUUGGGAGCGGCCCGCGUCGGAUUAGGUUGUUGGUGAGGUAAUGGCUCACCAAGCCGACGAUCCGUAGCUGGUCUGAGAGGAUGAUCAGCCAGACUGGAACUGAGACACGGUCCAGACUCCUACGGGAGGCAGCAGUGAGGAAUCUUCCACAAUGGGGGCAACCCUGAUGGAGCAACGCCGCGUGAAGGAUGAAGGCCCUCGGGUUGUAAACUUCUUUUAUGAGUGAAGAAUAUGACGGUAACUCAUGAAUAAGCACCGGCUAACUACGUGCCAGCAGCCGCGGUAA
Molecule: ribosomal RNA, 467 nt
Filed under: uncultured bacterium
Lineage: Bacteria
Description: partial 16S ribosomal RNA
Rfam family: Bacterial small subunit ribosomal RNA
Source: RNAcentral